UUCCCUGUGGCUCAGUUGGUAGAGCAUGGUGUGUGCAACGCCAGGGUUGUGGGUUUGAUUCCCAUGGGGGACC
This 73-nucleotide transfer RNA is filed under the name Salmo salar (Atlantic salmon). It matches the Rfam family "tRNA". Rfam says of the family: Transfer RNA (tRNA) molecules are approximately 80 nucleotides in length. Their secondary structure includes four short double-helical elements and three loops (D, anti-codon, and T loops). Further hydrogen bonds mediate the characteristic L-shaped molecular structure. tRNAs have two regions of fundamental functional importance: the anti-codon, which is responsible for specific mRNA codon recognition, and the 3' end, to which the tRNAs corresponding amino acid is attached (by aminoacyl-tRNA synthetases). tRNAs cope with the degeneracy of the genetic code in two manners: having more than one tRNA (with a specific anti-codon) for a particular amino acid; and 'wobble' base-pairing, i.e. permitting non-standard base-pairing at the 3rd anti-codon position. RNAcentral also lists the same sequence under 1 other name. Lineage: Eukaryota; Metazoa; Chordata; Actinopteri; Salmoniformes; Salmonidae. The record is from Rfam by way of RNAcentral.